Molecule: ribosomal RNA, 468 nt
Filed under: uncultured bacterium
Lineage: Bacteria
Description: partial 16S ribosomal RNA
Rfam family: Bacterial small subunit ribosomal RNA
Source: RNAcentral
GAUGAACGCUGGCGGCGUGCCUAACACAUGCAAGUCGAGCGAUCUUCUUCGGAAGAGAGCGGCGGACGGGUGAGUAACGCGUGGGUAACCUGCCCUGUACACACGGAUAACAUACCGAAGGGUAUGCUAAUACGAGAUAAUAUGCUUUUAUCGCAUGGUAGAAGGAUCAAAGCUCCGGCGGUACAAGAUUGACCCGCGUCUGAUUAGCUGGUUGGUAAGGUAACGGCUUACCAAGGCGACGAUCAGUAGCCGACCUGAGAGGGUGAUCGGCCACAUUGGAACUGAGACACGGUCCAAACUCCUACGGGAGGCAGCAGUGGGGAAUAUUGCACAAUGGGCGAAAGCCUGAUGCAGCAACGCCGCGUGAGCGAUGAAGGCCUUCGGGUCGUAAAGCUCUGUCCUCAAGGAAGAUAAUGACGGUACUUGAGGAGGAAGCCCCGGCUAACUACGUGCCAGCAGCCGCGGUAA